GCCAGCAGCCAUAUCACCCUGCAGCUCUCAACUGGCAGCCCGCUGAAGUUAAGCAGGGUUGAGCCUGGUCAGUACCUGAAUGGGAUACCUCCUGGAAAUGUUUGCUGUUGGAA
This 113-nucleotide ribosomal RNA is filed under the name Lepisosteus oculatus (spotted gar). The record is from RNAcentral. Lineage: Eukaryota; Metazoa; Chordata; Actinopteri; Semionotiformes; Lepisosteidae.